GCAAUAGUCCGUGUUAUUACAGUAUGUGCAUGUGGACUCAGUGUGUGUGUAGUAUGUGUAAUGAGCAUGGUGUCUUUUAGGGAUGGCAUACAGACCCACUGCGAUCAGAGGAGGCCUGAAACAAGGAUAUGGAACACUCGGAGGUUAUGGAGGAGGUACGUCCUUCCUAAAACUAUAAUGGGCAGAUAUCAGUUUCUACGUCUGAUGAAUUUAUAAUGCUUGCAUUCAUCAACACAAUCCUGCUAUUUUGGUCUUAGCUGCAAACCUUGGGACUGGCCUGGGGACUGGCCUGGGGACUGGCCUGGGGUCUGCUGGGCUGGGACUCGGCACAGGGUAUGGCCUAGGCAAUGGGCUGGGAGCAGCUUUAGGUUAUCCAGCAGGGAACCUCGGAGGAAGAGGUGAGAGCUGCUCAUUUGCUUUCGGUUCAGAAGGACUCUUGCAACACUUACUCACUGUUUGAUUUGGACAUUUUCUAGGUUACACCAGUAACGGCUAUGGAGCACAGCUAGGUGAGUGACCCCAAUCAAUUAACAUUAAAUGACACAUUCCAGUUUAAUGCCAUCUCUUUCCGACCUGAAGGUUGUGUAACAGAUUGGAUCCGAUCUAACCAAUCAGAAUGUGACCUUGUGCUGUGAUUAAAAUCUUCCACACGUGGUGAUAUGUGCUGUCCGUUUGCCAUGAUUAGGUGUCAUGUUUCUGAUGAAGAUGUGUGGGAGUGGGAGUGUAUGUGUCUACCAUGAGAGGCUUCCACUAAACAGGCAUUUACUUCUUCUUUCUGUAACCUUAACAUCUCUCUUGUUUUGUUGCCAGGUUAUGGGGCAGGAGGAUACCCUGCCGCUGGACGCGGAUACGGCCUUGGUGCUGCUGGUUAUCUUGGAGAUGGUUUAACUGACGGUUAUGGAGCAGGUAUCUAGAAAUUGUGAACUUUUGUUUCUCUCUAACAAGCACUAUAAUAAUCAUAUCUUGCUAAAGCUACCAGUUUUUUUGUUGUUUUUUGCUGAUACAGGUCUAGGGGCAGGUGGAUACCCACAGGGAGUUCGUGCAGGAAAGCAGAUUGGCUACAGCAACGGAUACGGCAGUGAGGUUUAUGGCACAGCAGACGGUUAUGGAGCAGGUGAGUCUGGACUGGAUAGGUACGAUGGAGCAUGUCCCAAUGUCACACUAACAUAUA
RNAcentral lists this long non-coding RNA (1171 nucleotides) under Carassius auratus (goldfish). RNAcentral describes it as "lncRNA (ENSCARG00000061732.1)". Lineage: Eukaryota; Metazoa; Chordata; Actinopteri; Cypriniformes; Cyprinidae. The record is from RNAcentral.